AUGGUUGAACUUGAAAGGCAUGUUAUGUUUCCCACUGUCUAUCGCCUCAUUGAGUUGGCAUUGCUACUACCGGUAGCGACGACAACAGUUGAAAGAGCCUUCUCAUCAAUGAAAAUCAUCAAGACUAAGUUGCGCAGUAAGAUGUCUGAUGCUGGCUUGAUGACUUGA
This 168-nucleotide ribosomal RNA is filed under the name Triticum aestivum (bread wheat). Its description in RNAcentral is "partial small subunit ribosomal RNA". Lineage: Eukaryota; Viridiplantae; Streptophyta; Magnoliopsida; Poales; Poaceae. The record is from RNAcentral.